GACGAACGCUGGCGGCGUGCCUAAUACAUGCAAGUAGAACGCUGAAGCGAGGAGCUUGCUCUUCUUGGAUGAGUUGCGAACGGGUGAGUAACGCGUAGGUAACCUGCCUUGUAGCGGGGGAUAGCUAUUGGAAACGAUAGCUAAUACCGCAUAACAAUGGAUGACACAUGUCAUUUAUUUGAAAGGGGCAAUUGCUCCACUACAAGAUGGACCUGCGUUGUAUUAGCUAGUAGGUGAGGUAAUGGCUCACCUAGGCGACGAUACAUAGCCGACCUGAGAGGGUGAUCGGCCACACUGGGACUGAGACACGGCCCAGACUCCUACGGGAGGCAGCAGUAGGGAAUCUUCGGCAAUGGGGGCAACCCUGACCGAGCAACGCCGCGUGAGUGAAGAAGGUUUUCGGAUCGUAAAGCUCUGUUGUAAGUCAAGAACGGGUGUGAGAGUGGAAAGUUCACACUGUGACGGUAGCUUACCAGAAAGGGACGGCUAACUACGUG
RNAcentral lists this ribosomal RNA (497 nucleotides) under uncultured bacterium. RNAcentral's name for it is "partial 16S ribosomal RNA". It matches the Rfam family "Bacterial small subunit ribosomal RNA", at positions 28 to 507 of the family's 1533-position model. The record is from RNAcentral.